UUAAUAGUAAAAUCUGCUCAAUGAAUUUUUAAAUAAAUAGCCGCAACUCGUGCUAAGGUAGCAUAAUCAUUUGUCUUUUAAAUGAAGACUGGAACAAAGGAUUUAACAUUUCAAUUUAUUUAUUUAGCUUAACAAUUUAAAUUAUCUUAAAUGUAAAAAGACAUUUAUAAAAAAGAAAGACGACAAGACCCUAUUGAACUUAACUUUAGUUAAACUGGGGUAGUUAAUUAAUUAUUAUUUUAAUUAAAUUAUCUUAAAAAAAAUCCACUUACUUGAUAAUCAAGUUACCAUAGGGAUAACAGCGCAAUUAAAUUUUAAAGUCCUCAUUUAAAAAGUAGAUUACGACCUCGAUGUUGAAUUAAUAACCUAUAUUUAAAGUAAAUUUUAAAAAAGGAAGUCUGUUCGACUUUUAAUAAAUUACAUGAUUUGAGUUCAGACCGGUGUAAGCCAGGUCGGUUUCUAUCUUCUAUAUAGUUUUCUACAGUACGAAAGGACCUAAAAAUAUAAUUUAAUUAAUUAAUUGGCAGAUAAGUGCAUUAGAAUUAGAAUCUAAAUAAUCUAUU
RNAcentral lists this ribosomal RNA (563 nucleotides) under Canama cf. forceps JXZ-2013. Its description in RNAcentral is "partial 16S ribosomal RNA". The stretch from base 174 to 468 matches the Rfam family "Bacterial large subunit ribosomal RNA", at positions 2074 to 2646 of the family's 2925-position model. Lineage: Eukaryota; Metazoa; Arthropoda; Arachnida; Araneae; Salticidae. The record is from RNAcentral.